UAAGGAGACCCUGGUUCUACUUCAUUUGUCUCAGCUCUUACAAUUUUCUGAUGCAUUUAUGAGGGCAAUUUGUAGCACUGAAAAUAAUUUUGAGUUAAAAUCUUUUUGGUUUUGGACAAUAGUGAAGAUGCUUAUAUAUUCACUCACUUCACAUACCCCAGGGAAAUUGAGUCACUUCUUCCUAAAAAGGUAUAAAAUACUCAUAAAUUUCAACAGAAGAUAUGGCUGCAUUUUGAGACCCCAGAAAUUUAAGGUCAUGAUCACCACACUGCAGCACAUUGGAAGUGAUGAGUCACUUACCAGAUGCAAACACAGAACUCCCACUAAUCACAUCAUUGUGACAAGAAGAGAAGGCAAAAUAGAAAUAAAAAUGAAAAAUGAACGGCAUGGGUAUUGCUAUGCAUAUAAAUUUAAUAAAUACAUGUGAUAUGAUAUGUGAUAUGAUAUACUAUGAUAUGCCUGGACUAAUGAGCCCCAAAUUUGUCACUGAGCCUCCAAUGUCCCUUCUUUUCCCUUUAUACCAUUGCUACCCAAGACCCAGUUAAAUAUCUCUCUGGAUUAUAUCUUUCUGGCUUUAAUAAAAAGAUGAGGUUAGAGUGGCUGUUAUUUAGCCAGGUACUUUUAAGAAGAUGAGAGUGGUUUUAAAAUUGGAGGAAGAAACCUCAAUAACUGAUGCUGAUGAUACUACCCUGCUAGCUGAAAAUGUAAAGGAUCUGCAAGCCCUAGUACUGUACUAAAAGUCAAAGAGCAAGUGAAAAAAUGGGACUAAAAUUAAACAUAAAAACCACCAAACUAAUGGCAGUAGGUAGAACAACCUGCCUUAGAAUUGACAAUGAAGAUAUCAAAGUGGUGGAGAGCUUCUGCCUUUUAGGAUCAACCAUCAACAGUAAAGGAACAAGAAGUCAAGAAAUAUGCUGCAGACUAGCACUUGGUAGAGCAGCCACAAAGGCCUUGGGAAAUAUAUUCAAAUGCCAUGAUGUGUCUAUACCUACAGAGAGAAGAAUUGUGCAAGCCAUGGUAUUCCCUAUGACGCUCUAUGGAACGCUGGACUUUAAAGAAGCAGGUUAGGAAAAGUAUUGAUGCCUUUGAACUUUGGUGUUUGAGAAGACUCCUGAGAAUACUGUGGACAGCCAAGAAAACAAACUGAUGAAUCACUGAACAAAUCAACCCAGAGUUCUCACCCAAGCAUAAUGACCAGGCUCAAAUUAUCCUACUUUGGACAUAAUAUGCGAAGACACAGCUCUCUGGAAAAGACUCUAAUGUUGGGAAAGGUGGAAGAAAAGAGAAGAGGAUGACCAGCAGCAAGGUGGAUGGACUCAAGUUACAGCAGCAAUGAAUGCACUGUUGGGAGACUUGAAAGAAUAUGGAGAAGGAAGUGGAGAAUCUAUGUGGUCGCUAGGAGUCAAAAACAACUAGACGGCACAUAA
Molecule: long non-coding RNA, 1427 nt
Organism: Candoia aspera
Lineage: Eukaryota; Metazoa; Chordata; Lepidosauria; Squamata; Candoiidae
Exons: 3
Source: RefSeq, a predicted model, not a curated record